Molecule: ribosomal RNA, 2865 nt
Filed under: Solanum tuberosum (potato)
Lineage: Eukaryota; Viridiplantae; Streptophyta; Magnoliopsida; Solanales; Solanaceae
Description: eukaryotic LSU rRNA
Rfam family: Eukaryotic large subunit ribosomal RNA (bases 335-2865)
Source: RNAcentral
UGACUUAUUAAGAAGUUUUAGAAAUCAAUACCCAGCUAUGGAGCAUGUUAUAGGUAUUGAUUUUUCAUUUUUUACAAUAUCAAGUUAAAACCCCAUUUUUGUGCGUUUGACCAUGUGAUUAAUUGCUUAAUUUAGCUGAUGGGUUUUAGAGAUUAUUGAUCGUAUUGCUAAUUUGAAGUGGGUCUGAUUUAUUGCAGUUGUGAAAUUAUUCUGGUGCAUUGUCUAUUUAAUGCUACUUAGUUUUAUAUGCUUGCUCUAGAGAGAGCUAUAAAACUAAGGCUUAAAAGUAGCUUUCGUAGAAAUUUGGUUGUUGUGAAUUGAGCUAGAGAGAGUCAAUCCUAAAAUCCUUUCUACCUAUCUAGCUCCAGAGAGUAGAUGGAAUGAGGUUGUGGGCUGGUUUUCCUAUUUCGCCUGUUAAGGUUCGAGACAACUCACUUGAAGCAAGGUAGUUGUUUGAGAGAAAGCUAUCUCAUGUUUGCUCCAGCCUUCCUACGAUGAUUUAGUAUCCUUGAGUAAUUAACUAGCACCCAUUUAGCAUAAUUGGCAGUUAAUCAGUCAUUCCUCCAAUUAUCUCUAAAUCAUUUUAUUUCUCUUGUUAUUUGUCAUUGUUGUGAUCAUUGAUUAAACUCAAAUUUCCCCUCCUAACAUUGAUGUCACCUUCUUGAUUUAUUUAUGUGAUUCCGAUAAUUUCUAUUCCUACAAUCAAUUGAACCACAUUCACUACUUCAAAAUUGAAUUCAAACUUAUACCACUCCCUGUGGGUUUGACCCCAACUCUUCGUUGGGUUUUAUACUAGUUAACUAUUGUCUACACCUAGAAUCGAAUGAGGUGUAUUUGAGACGUUAAUCAAAGACUAAUCAAACUGCCUAGUAGGUUGUUCCCUCCGAAGUUUCCCUUUGGUUAGUUGAAGUUUGCAUGCAACUUCUAUCGGGUAAAGCCAGUGAUAAGAGGCCUCAGGGAUGCAACGUCCUAGACGUAUUCUGAAACAUUAAACAGGUAGGACGUUGUGUCUGCUUUGUGUAUCCGCACCAUCGAAUCAAAUGCUCCAAGUAGGCCCUUUCUUAGUAAGCAUAACUAGUGAUGCAAGAUUAACCAUAAGAGCAGUAACGAUGUUGAAUUGCACUCUAACCUAGAAUGUGUUGAAUGUGUUGGUUGAUUAAGAUAGCAGGGUUGUCGUCGUGGAAGUAAAAAUAUGUUACUGAGUGUUUAAAAACUCAUGUUCCAAAUAAAAUAGACUAAAAAUAUAAAUGGAGCUUAAGUGUGAAACCUACAACUGAUCAUUAGGGCAAGUUCCAGACCCUUAUGAGUAGGAGGGUACAAUGAUCACUACAAAAAAAACCUUAGAUGCAUCGACCGUCGGCGGAGAUCAUCUGGUUGUAGAAAAUAUUCAAAUAAGAACUUUGAAAGAUGAAAAGGGGAAAGGAACCAUGUGAAAGGAACUUGCCAAUGGGUUAGUCGAUUCUAAGGGUCGGGGUAACCUUGACAAAUAGCACAUCUCAUGCCUACUUUAAAAGGGAUUAAAGUUCAAAUUCAUAAGUUAGGAUGUGGGGAUGAAGGCAACGUUAGGAGGUUCGGAGAUGUGUGUGGGAGUCUCGGGAAGAGUUAUCUUUUUUAUUUAAUAGCCUUCCAACCCUAGAAUCGGCUCAGUCGUCCAAUGGCUUGAAGAGUAUCGCACGACGCACGGUGUUCGGUGCACUCCUGACGACACUUAAAAAUAUAGAGGACCGAAUAUCUUUCAAGCCUUGUUGAACCACAUCAGGUCUCUAAGGUGAACAACUCUUAUCGAUGGAAUGAUGUAGGCAAGGCAAUUCAGGAAAAUAGAUCUAUAACUUCAAGAAAAAUAUUGAUUCUGACGGCUUGGCACGAAACUCCCAAUCCAAAAUCCGCUGGCUGUCAGUUGACUGCUCGAGAGACUCCUAAUAGAGAGUUUGUCGUUGCAUUCCAUUCAGGGUAUGGACUGAGAGUGAUUUCUUAAGGGACCUCUUAUGGGCAUUAAACAACAAUUCAAAACUAGUACAAACAAGAGGAAUCUAACUAUUGAAUUAAAACAAAUUAUUGUGAUGGUCACAAUGGAUGUUUACACAAUGUGAUUUCUGCCUAGUGCUUUGAAUGUCAAAUUAAAGAAAUUCAACCAAGCGCAUGUAAAUAACGAGAGUAACUAUGAAUCACUUGAGAAAGACAUAUGCCUCAUCAAAUAACGAGUGGCACACAUGAAUGGAUUAAUGAUAUUGUCAUUGUCCCUGUCUAAUAUCCCUAGAAACCACAACCAAGGGAUGGACCUGGCAAAAUUAGAAGGGAAAGAAGACAUUGUUCAACUUGAUUCCAGUCUGACGUUGUCAAAUUACUUGAGAGGUGUAGUAUAAGUGGAAUUCAUAAGGUGAAUAUGAAAUACAACUACUUUUAAUAUUAUUUUACUUAUUCCCAAAAUCGAAUGUAGGGUGUUUCCUCUGCUUUUGGACCUAACUCCCAAGGCUUGCUUCACGUGUCAAUCUGGGCAGAAGACAUUUUCAGGUGGUGAGUUUGCCUUGGACGGCAAUUUUGUUUAAAGAUAACGGAUGUGUUCUAUGAUGAGCUCAGUGAGAACAAAAAUCUUGUGUGGAACAUAAGAAUAAAAUCUCGUUUGAUUCUGAUCUCUUAUACUAAUAUCAACCGUGAAAGUGGGAUCUGUUAUUUUACCCUACUGAUGAUAGUGUUGUAAUAGUAAUUCAACCUAGUAUAGAAGGAAUCAUUGAUUCACACAAUUGGUCAUCGCACUUGGUUGAAAAGCUUGUGGUGUGAAGCUAUUGUGGGUUGGGAUAUGACUAAACUCCUCUAAGUCAUAAUCUUGACUAAAGGUAAUGCAUGUGAUAACAAUCAAACUAUUCU